GGGGAAUAUUGCGCAAUGGGGGAAACCCUGACGCAGCAAUACCGCGUGAGUGAAGAAGGUUUUCGGAUUGUAAACCUCUGUCCUUGGUGACGAAAAAAAUGACGGUAGCCAAGGAGGAAGCUCCGGCUAACUACGUGCCAGCAGCCGCGGUAAUACGUAGGGAGCAAGCGUUGUCCGGAUUUACUGGGUGUAAAGGGUGCGUAGGCGGCACUGCAAGUCAGGCGUGAAAUAUAUGGGCUUAACCCAUAGACUGCGUUUGAAACUGUGGUGCUUGAGUGAAGUAGAGGUAGGCGGAAUUCCCGGUGUAGCGGUGAAAUGCGUAGAGAUUAGGAAGAACACCAGUGGCGAAGGCGGCUUUCUGGACUGUAACUGACACUGAGGCACGAAAGCGUGGGGAGCAAACA
RNAcentral lists this ribosomal RNA (404 nucleotides) under uncultured Eubacteriales bacterium. RNAcentral's name for it is "bacterial SSU rRNA". It matches the Rfam family "Bacterial small subunit ribosomal RNA", at positions 356 to 774 of the family's 1533-position model. Lineage: Bacteria; Bacillati; Bacillota; Clostridia; Eubacteriales. The record is from RNAcentral.